Pipistrellus kuhlii (Kuhl's pipistrelle) is the source of this 109-nucleotide small nuclear RNA. The record is from RefSeq and is a predicted model, not a curated record. NCBI's taxonomy places the organism in Eukaryota, Metazoa, Chordata, Mammalia, Chiroptera, Vespertilionidae.
UGGCUUUGGCAGCCCAUAUACUAAAACUGAAACGAUAUAAAGAAGAUUUUCCCAAGCAUGGUCCCUGGGCAAAGAUGACACACAAAUUCGUGAAGUGUUCCAUAUUUUA